Molecule: ribosomal RNA, 411 nt
Filed under: Platorchestia sp. 6 TT-2020
Lineage: Eukaryota; Metazoa; Arthropoda; Malacostraca; Amphipoda; Talitridae
Description: partial 16S ribosomal RNA
Source: RNAcentral
GUAGCAAAAUCAUUUGUUUUUUAAUUGAAAACUGGAAUGAAAGGUUGAACAAAUACACAGUUUUUUACUUUGAAUUAUUAGAAUUUUUAGUUUAUGUAAAAAUACAUAAAUAUUUUAAAGGGACGAUAAGACCCUAAAAGCUUUAUUUAUUAAUUUUUUUUAUUGUUUUAAUUUGGUUAUUAAAAUUAUUUUAACUGGGGCGGUUGUUUUUAUUAAACAAAAAUUUUUUUUACAAAUAGGGUUUAAGAUCCUUAAAAUUAGGAUAAGUUGUUUAAGUUACUUUAGGGGUAACAGCGUGAUGAUAAUGAGGAGACCUUAUUUAUAUUAUUGAUUGCGACCUCGAUGUUGAAUUAAAUUUUUCUAUAUGAAGCAGAAAUUAUAUAUGAAAGUUUGUUCAACUUUUAAAAAUUU